Molecule: long non-coding RNA, 252 nt
Filed under: Nicotiana benthamiana
Lineage: Eukaryota; Viridiplantae; Streptophyta; Magnoliopsida; Solanales; Solanaceae
Description: long non-coding RNA (NBEN_LNC037899)
Source: RNAcentral
ACGAUAUCUGUGAAGACAUUAUAUAUCUAUCACGAGUUAUGAUUUCAAAGGUGCAAAUAUUCAUUAUAGUUAAUAUGACUGAUUUUAUUUAUCAAAUUUACUAACGAUCUCUUGAAGAUGGUGCACAAGAUUGGAACGCGAAGGCUCAAGGAUGUGAAUUGAUGCUCUCUUCAGGGGGAGUUAAUACGCGUUGCACUCUUUUUCCCUUACAAGGUUUUGUCCCACUGAGUUUUCCUUGCAAGGUUUUUAACG